Molecule: microRNA precursor, 76 nt
Filed under: Myotis brandtii (Brandt's bat)
Lineage: Eukaryota; Metazoa; Chordata; Mammalia; Chiroptera; Vespertilionidae
Description: mir-9193 microRNA precursor family
Rfam family: mir-9193 microRNA precursor family
Source: Rfam by way of RNAcentral
GGUGGGGGGGAGUGGUGUCCCUCAGCCCGGAUUGCAAGAGGGUGCAGGCCAGGCCGAGGGACCCCACCAGUGCACG